RNAcentral lists this ribosomal RNA (465 nucleotides) under Vreelandella stevensii. Its description in RNAcentral is "partial 16S ribosomal RNA". It matches the Rfam family "Bacterial small subunit ribosomal RNA", at positions 338 to 795 of the family's 1533-position model. Lineage: Bacteria; Pseudomonadati; Pseudomonadota; Gammaproteobacteria; Oceanospirillales; Halomonadaceae. The record is from RNAcentral.
CCUACGGGGGGCAGCAGUGGGGAAUAUUGGACAAUGGGCGAAAGCCUGAUCCAGCCAUGCCGCGUGUGUGAAGAAGGCCUUCGGGUUGUAAAGCACUUUCAGUGGGGAAGAAAGCCUUGGGGCUAAUACCCUCGAGGAAGGACAUCACCCACAGAAGAAGCACCGGCUAACUCCGUGCCAGCAGCCGCGGUAAUACGGAGGGUGCGAGCGUUAAUCGGAAUUACUGGGCGUAAAGCGCGCGUAGGCGGUCUGAUAAGCCGGUUGUGAAAGCCCCGGGCUCAACCUGGGAACGGCAUCCGGAACUGUCAGGCUAGAGUGCAGGAGAGGAAGGUAGAAUUCCCGGUGUAGCGGUGAAAUGCGUAGAGAUCGGGAGGAAUACCAGUGGCGAAGGCGGCCUUCUGGACUGACACUGACGCUGAGGUGCGAAAGCGUGGGUAGCAAACAGGAUUAGAUACCCCAGUAAUC